Callorhinus ursinus (northern fur seal) is the source of this 1292-nucleotide non-coding RNA. NCBI's taxonomy places the organism in Eukaryota, Metazoa, Chordata, Mammalia, Carnivora, Otariidae. The record is from RefSeq and is a predicted model, not a curated record.
AUGGCGACCUCUCUGGGACCCAACACCUACAACAGGCAGAACUGGGAGGAUGUGGACUUCCCCAUUCUGUGUCAGACGUGUCUUGGAGAAAACCCAUAUAUCCGAAUGACCAAAGAGAAGUAUGGGAAGGCAUGUAAAUCUGUGCUAGACCAUUCACAGUGUUUUGUUGGUGCCCCGGGGUCCGCAUGCGUUUCAAGAAAACUGAAGUGUGCCAAACUUGCAGUAAAUUGAAGAAUGUCUGUCAGACCUGCCUCUUGGACCUGGAGUACGGGCUGCCCAUCCAGGUUCGUGAUGCAGGAUUGUCUUUUAAGGAUGACAUGCCAAAGUCAGAUGUCAACAAAGAGUACUACACACAGAAUAUGAAGAGAGAAAUUUCUAACUCUGAUGGAACGCGGCCGGUUGGCUUGUUGGGGAAAGCCACCUCCACCAGUGACAUGUUGCUCAAGCUGGCCCGGACCACACCCUACUACAAGAGGAAUCGACCCCACAUUUGCUCCUUUUGGGUAAAAGGAGAAUGUAAGAGAGGAGCGGAAUGUCCAUACAGACAUGAGAAGCCAACAGAUCCAGAUGACCCCCUUGCUGAUCAGAACAUUAAAGACCGAUAUUACGGUACCAAUGACCCUGUGGCAGAUAAGCUUCUAAAGCGGGCUUCAACAAUGCCUCGUCUGGACCCACCAGAGGACAAGACUAUCACCACACUGUAUGUUGGUGGUCUGAGUGAUACCAUUACUGAGACUGAUCUAAGAAAUCACUUCUACCAGUUUGGGGAAAUUCGAACGAUCACUGUCGUGCAAAGACAGCAGUGCUCAUUCAUCCAGUUUGCCAGGAGGCAGGCUGCAGAGGUGGCUGCAGAGAAGUCAUUUAAUAUGUUGAUUGUCAAUGGCCGUAGACUCAACGUGAAAUGAGGAAGGUCCCAAGCAGCCAGAGGAAAAGAAAAAGAGAAGGAUGGAACCACAGACUCUGGGAUCAAGCUUGAGCCCGUUCCAGGACUGCCAGGAGCUCUUCCUCCUCCUCCUGCAGCAGCAGAAGAAGCCUCUGCCAACUACUUCAACCUCCCCCCGAGUGGUCCUCCAGCUGUGGUGAACAUUGCACUGCCACCACCCCUUGGUAUUGCCCCGCCUCCACCCCCAGGUUUUGGGCCACACAUGUUCCACCCAAUGGGACCACCCCCUCCUUUCAUGAGGGCUCCAGGACCAAUCCACUAUCCUCAGGACCCUCAGAGGAUGGGCGCUCAUGCCGGCAAACACAGCAGCCCCUAGCACAUUAUCACCACUCCGGGGCUUUACAAAAGA